Molecule: ribosomal RNA, 253 nt
Filed under: uncultured bacterium
Lineage: Bacteria
Description: partial 16S ribosomal RNA
Rfam family: Bacterial small subunit ribosomal RNA
Source: RNAcentral
UACGUAGGGUGCAAGCGUUGUCCGGAAUUAUUGGGCGUAAAGAGCGUGUAGGCGGCCCGACAAGUCCGCUGUGAAAGUCCAGGGCUCAACCCUGGAAUGCCGGUGGAUACUGUCGGGCUAGAGUCCGGAAGGGGCGAGUGGAAUUCCUGGUGUAGCGGUGAAAUGCGCAGAUAUCAGGAGGAACACCAAUUGCGAAGGCAGCUCGCUGGGACGUUACUGACGCUGAGACGCGAAAGCGUGGGGAGCAAACAGG